AUUGAACGCUGGCGGCAGGCCUAACACAUGCAAGUCGAGCGAGCGGCGCACGGGUGAGUAAUAUCUGGGAAACUCCCCGCUGGAGGGGGGUCACUACUGGGAAAUGUAUGUAAUACCUCAUACCAUCAGAUGUGCCCAGAUGGGAUUAGCUAGUCGGUGGGGUAACGGCUCACCUAGGCGACGAGCCCUAGCUGGUCUGAGAGGAUGAUCAGCCACACUGGGACUGAGACACGGUCCAGACUCCUACGUGAGGCAGCAGUGGAGAAUAUUGCACAAGGGGCGGAAGCCUGAUGCAGCCAAGCCGCGUGUGUGAAGAAGGCCUUCGGGUUGUAAAGGACUUUCAGCGGGGAGGCGUUACCCGCAGAAGAAGCACCGGCUAACUCCGUGCCAGCAGCCGCGGUAAUAC
Molecule: ribosomal RNA, 406 nt
Filed under: uncultured bacterium
Lineage: Bacteria
Description: partial 16S ribosomal RNA
Rfam family: Bacterial small subunit ribosomal RNA
Source: RNAcentral